CCUACGGGGGGCUGCAGUGGGGAAUAUUGCACAAUGGGCGCAAGCCUGAUGCAGCCAUGCCGCGUGUGUGAAGAAGGCCUUCGGGUUGUAAAGCACUUUCAGCGGGGAGGAAGGCGGUGAGGUUAAUAACCUCAUCGAUUGACGUUACCCACAGAAGAAGCACCGGCUAACUCCGUGCCAGCAGCCGCGGUAAUACGGAGGGUGCAAGCGUUAAUCGGAAUUACUGGGCGUAAAGCGCACGCAGGCGGUCUGUCAAGUCGGAGGUGAAAUCCCCGGGCUCAACCUGGGAACUGCAUUCGAAACUGGCAGGCUAGAGUCUUGUAGAGGGGGGUAGAAGUCCAGGUGUAGCGGUGAAAUGCGUAGAGAUCUGGAGGAAUACCGGUGGCGAAGGCGGCCCCCUGGACAAAGACUGACGCUCAGGUGCGAAAGCGUGGGGAGCAAACAGGAUUAGAUACCCCAGUAGUC
This 465-nucleotide ribosomal RNA is filed under the name uncultured Klebsiella sp. Its description in RNAcentral is "bacterial SSU rRNA". It matches the Rfam family "Bacterial small subunit ribosomal RNA", at positions 338 to 795 of the family's 1533-position model. Lineage: Bacteria; Pseudomonadati; Pseudomonadota; Gammaproteobacteria; Enterobacterales; Enterobacteriaceae. The record is from RNAcentral.